CCUACGGGUGGCUGCAGUGAGGAAUAUUGGUCAAUGGCCGCAGGGCUGAACCAGCCAAGUCGCGUGAGGGAUGACGGUCCUAUGGAUUGUAAACCUCUUUUGUCAGGGAGCAAAGGGCGCCACGUGUCGCCUUUUGCGUGUACCUGAAGAAAAAGCAUCGGCUAACUCCUUGCCAGCAGCCGCGGUAAUACGGAGGAUGCGAGCGUUAUCCGGAUUUAUUUGGUUUAAAGGGUGCGCAGGCGGCAUGUCAAGUCAGCGGUAAAAGUUCGGGGCUCAACCCCGUCGUGCCGUUGAAACUGGCGUUCUUGAGUGAGCGAGAAGUAUGCGGAAGGCGUGGUGUAGCGGUGAAAUGCAUAGAUAUCACGCAGAACUCCGAGUGCGAAGGCAGCAUGCCGGCGCUCAACUGACGCUGAGGCACGAAAGCGUGGGUAUCGAACAGGAUUAGAUACCCUAGUAGUC
Molecule: ribosomal RNA, 459 nt
Filed under: uncultured bacterium
Lineage: Bacteria
Description: partial 16S ribosomal RNA
Rfam family: Bacterial small subunit ribosomal RNA
Source: RNAcentral